RNAcentral lists this ribosomal RNA (515 nucleotides) under uncultured bacterium. RNAcentral's name for it is "bacterial SSU rRNA". It matches the Rfam family "Bacterial small subunit ribosomal RNA", at positions 8 to 518 of the family's 1533-position model. The record is from RNAcentral.
AGAGUUGAUCAUGGCUCAGGAUAAACGACUGGCGGCAUGCCUAAUACAUGCAAGUCAAACGGGAAGUAGCAAUACUCUAGUGGCGAACGGGUGAGUAACACGUGGGCAACCUGCCUGAAGACGAGGAUAACAGUUGGAAACGACUGAUAAUACUGGAUAGUAUACAUUACCGCAUGGUUUUGUAUUUAAAGAUGCGUUUGCAUCACUUCAAGAGGGGCCUGCGGAGCAUUAGCUAGUUGGUGAGGUAACGGCCCACCAAGGCGACGAUGCUUAGCUGCGCUGAGAGGCGAAACAGCCACAUUGGGACUGAGAGACGGCCCAAACUCCUACGGGAGGCAGCAGUAGGGAAUUUUCGGCAAUGGGGGAAAACCCUGACCGAGCAAUGCCGCGUGAAUGAUGACGGUCUUCGGACUGUAAAAGUUCUGUUGUGAGGGAAGAACUAUACGAUUAGGAAAUGAGUCGUAUUUGACGGUACCUCACUAGAAAGCCCCGGCUAACUAUGUGCCAGCCGCCGC